UGCCAGCCGCCGCGGUAAUACGGAGGGUGCAAGCGUUAUCCGGAAUCAUUGGGUUUAAAGGGUCCGCAGGCGGACGUAUAAGUCAGUGGUGAAAUCCUGCAGCUUAACUGCAGAACUGCCAUUGAUACUGUACGUCUUGAAUUCGGUCGAAGUGGGCGGAAUGUGUAGUGUAGCGGUGAAAUGCAUAGAUAUUACACAGAACACCGAUAGCGAAGGCAGCUCACUAACAAUUAACUGACGCUGAGGGACGAAAGCGUGGGUAGCUAACAGGAUCAGAUA
Molecule: ribosomal RNA, 279 nt
Filed under: uncultured bacterium
Lineage: Bacteria
Description: partial 16S ribosomal RNA
Rfam family: Bacterial small subunit ribosomal RNA
Source: RNAcentral